CCUGGAGUUUGGCAGAGGGGGGUGGAAUUCCACGUGUAGCAGUGAAAUGCGUAGAGAUGUGGAGGAACACCAAUGGCGAAGGCAGCCCCCUGGGUCGAUACUGACGCUCAUGCACGAAAGCGUGGGUAGCAAACAGGAUUAGAUACCCUGGUAGUCCACGCCCUAAACGAUGUCAACUAGGUGUUGGGAGGGUAAAACCUUUUAGUGCCGUAGCUAACAAGGCG
This 224-nucleotide ribosomal RNA is filed under the name uncultured Candidatus Accumulibacter sp. RNAcentral describes it as "partial 16S ribosomal RNA". It matches the Rfam family "Bacterial small subunit ribosomal RNA", at positions 640 to 859 of the family's 1533-position model. Lineage: Bacteria; Pseudomonadati; Pseudomonadota; Betaproteobacteria. The record is from RNAcentral.